RNAcentral lists this ribosomal RNA (446 nucleotides) under uncultured bacterium. Its description in RNAcentral is "partial 16S ribosomal RNA". It matches the Rfam family "Bacterial small subunit ribosomal RNA", at positions 338 to 795 of the family's 1533-position model. The record is from RNAcentral.
CCUACGGGAGGCAGCAGUAGGGAAUUUUCGGCAAUGGGGGGAACCCUGACCGAGCAACGCCGCGUGAACGAAGAAGUUAUUCGUAAUGUAAAGUUCUUUUAACAGGGAAGAAAGAGAAAUUUGAUGGUACCUGAAGAAUAAGCUCCGGCUAACUACGUGCCAGCAGCCGCGGUAAUACGUAGGGAGCGAGCGUUAUCCGGAAUUAUUGGGCGAAAGGGGUGGGUAGAUGGCAUAGUAAGUCUUUUGUAAAAAUGCUGGGCUCAACCCAGUAGGGCAAAAGAUACUGCAAAGCUGGAGUAUGACAGAGGCAAGUGGAACUACAGGUGUAGCGGUAAAAUGCGUAAAUAUAAGUAAGAACACCAGUGGCGAAGGCGGCUUGCUGGGUCGAUACUGACAUUGAGGCACGAAAGCGUGGGGAGCAAACAGGAUUAGAUACCCCGGUAGUC